GAUCUGGCUCAGGAUGAACGCUGGCGGCGUGCUUAACACAUGCAAGUCGAGCGAAGCACUUUACUUAGAUUUCUUCGGGAUGAAGAGUGUUGUGACUGAGCGGCGGACGGGUGAAGGUAACGCGUGGGUAACCUGCCUCAUACAGGGGGAUAACAGUUAGAAAUGACUGCUAAUACCGCAUAAGACCACAGCACCGCAUAGUGCAGAGGUAAAAACUCCGGUGGUAUGAGAUGGACCCG
Molecule: ribosomal RNA, 239 nt
Filed under: uncultured bacterium
Lineage: Bacteria
Description: partial 16S ribosomal RNA
Rfam family: Bacterial small subunit ribosomal RNA
Source: RNAcentral